AUGGAACUGUCUGAAUUAAGACAGCAACUGGGUUUAGCGAUGGUUCACAAUCCUGAAUGCACAGCAUCAUCAGCUGCAGACCCUUAAAAAUGUCAGACUCCGAAGGCCCACAUCGUGUGUCCAAGGAGCACGACCGAUGACACUGUGUGCUAACAAGCUACUUUUCAGCCAAGUGAGAAGCUGUGAUUUGGAAUCGUUAGGCAGAUGAUCUCUGGCUUCACAAUUCUGUGAUGCCACCUACCUUCCCUGCCAUCGGCUAAGAUGAGACAUACUCUAUCUUCGAAAUAGGAAGGCCACAAAAUAAGUGCUUCAACGUCCACAUCGUCAGCCACAGUGAAUUGUAGGCAUCGAGCACUGUGUGCGUGUUAGAGCCAGGGACAGUUUGAGAGAUAAGCAUCUGUAGCGGAAACAGCCUUGAAGUCGCAGAAGUGUUCAUGUCACUAAAUUGUAGCUCUCAUGGAACAUUGUGUUUAUUGGGCCAAUAUAAUACACAAGUUCAUCUUUCAGCUGGACCGUCUGAAACGUAAAUAGAUGAGGACCGUUCUGAUGCCAGGCUGUAAAUUCUGUCCACGGCAGUGAAGUCCACAUCAGCACAGUAAAAAAGAAUUCCUCUGAAACAUUUCCUCAAGACGACGAGGCCUGUGCAACAAUCACCCGCCAAAGAAUUAAAAUCACAUCAGGACAGUGAGCGAUACGACUUGCCGCUGAGAACACUGUACUCAGGGUCAGCGCCAAAGACCGUGACUUCAUGGUCCUGCCAUCUUUAUAAAAUGAAUCAAAUGGAGAGUACAUCUCCAGUCCUCUUCCAGAAUAAUGUGCGUAUGAAAUCACUUCACUGGAUACAUUUCUAAAGACUGAAGAAGAGGAAGGAAGAGGAGGAGGGAAAACUGUAAAAGGAAAUGAGAGAAUGAAGCUCUAAAAUGAGAACAAGGGGAGAUUUCAAAUUCCACGUCCCUGUUCUCCAGAUUUCUCCUCUCGUGUCGCCUCCCCGAGUGCCCAUGUGCGUCCCCUCUUCCAGGAGGCUGUCACGGAGAGUGCAGGGUAUCCGUUCCUCCUAUCACUCUCUGCCACUGAAGCCUGACUCAGGUACCGGUGAUCUCAGGAAAGAUGAAGAAGGGAGUGAAGAAAUGAGCCAGUAA
Molecule: long non-coding RNA, 1139 nt
Filed under: Fukomys damarensis (Damara mole-rat)
Lineage: Eukaryota; Metazoa; Chordata; Mammalia; Rodentia; Bathyergidae
Description: lncRNA (ENSFDAG00000021893.1)
Source: RNAcentral